This is a long non-coding RNA of Clupea harengus (Atlantic herring), 1467 nucleotides long. Lineage: Eukaryota; Metazoa; Chordata; Actinopteri; Clupeiformes; Clupeidae. The record is from Ensembl.
CUGGGUCCUGUGAUUGAUUUCAGGCUGCUGUAACAGAUACAAUGUGUCACUUUAAAAGACCAGCGGCUACACAUUGAUUACGCGCAGCAAGGCCAAUGACCUGUGUUGCAUGCUGGGAAAUCCAGCUGUGCCUCUACUGACCGUAUUCAUCCAUCUCAUGCUGCCCCACCCCCGUCACCACUUCCUCUGCUACACACACACCCCACCCCUGUCCCCAGCAGUAUCCUUGGAGGAUGGCAAAAGUGUGUGUGUGAGCGGAAAAAAAAAGAAAUCUAGACGUGGGUGUGAUGUCAUUUUGACUCCCCUCUCCUCCAGUAGCAGGCUACGCAUAGAGAGCUGGAGAGAGAAGAGGGGGAGAUGAGACUGGAAGGAGGCGCUUAGGAGGUUGCAGGGGAAGACAUGUAAAAAGACAGGAACAGGGCCUAAGAAAAACCUCUGGAUGUCACCUAAGAGGCACUCCCUCCACUGUCAUUCCUGCUGGAGGCUCCACCAACACGUCUGGACUGCACCUGGGCGUCCAACGCACGGAGAGGGAGAGAGUCCAGGGGCACCUACAGUUAAGCUUUCCGUCGGAUGAUUCACUCUCAUCAUUCCCGCCUUACUACUACUGUAACAGUGAGGGUGUGGAUGCAAUGGAUACAGAGUGACGCUCCUUCAUCCAGUCAACCAGCUGUGAAACCUCGGGGCUAAACGCCUUGACAACAGGAGUGCCCUGGACAACACACCAGUCAGACAAACACAGCCAUACUGUCACCUUUCCCCAGUCACACAGUCUCAGACUUUCACCAGUGUAUGUGUAAUGUCUGUCUGUGUGUGUGUGUGUGUGUGUGUGUGUGUCAGAUAAUCUGGGUGCUCACAGCUUAGUGUCUAAGGUGAAUCAGUGGGGGUGUCACAGUCGUGAAGCACCAGAGAUUCCAGAUGUCUGUUAGAGCUUAUUUACUGCUAUCAGAAAACAGACCAGAAGCUGUUUUGUGGUUUUGAAGGGACAGGGAAGAGUGUGUGUGAGAGUGUAUCUAAUGUGUGAGUAAGACAGCAUUUAAAAAAAGCUCAGUGUGUGUGAGUGUGUAUGUCAGUCUGUCUGUCUGUCUGUCUCUGUGUGUGUGAUAGACACGAUGGGUUGUGCCAUCUGCACUCAGCUCGUGGACAUGUGUAGGGGGUUCACAUGGAAGAGGGGUCGGAGCGCCAGGCCAGCGGUCGCGGAGGUGCCCCCCCUGGAGUACCACCGGCUCUCCGGCCUCCACUACACCUCCUCCUUCUCCGACGCAGAGGACUGCUGCGAUGACCUCAGCUCCAUCAGCACCUCCUCGUCCUCUGAUUACCUAGAAACUGAAUACUUGGCUGAUUUGGAGGAAUGACACACAGGCUUGUGACACUUGUCAUUUGCAUCAUAUGCACUUCACUUGAAUAAAUGAUUAAGAUGAAAACUAAGAACUGGGUUGGGUUCAUUUCUGGUGUAUGUGCGACUAC